GACAUCAUGUUCAGUGCUUAAGAUAUAGUCGGGCCACCGGGGAAACUCGGUGGGUGAGUACAUUACAACCCUUUCAACCGUUCCGUAGGUGAACCUGCGGAAGGAUCAUUA
Molecule: ribosomal RNA, 111 nt
Filed under: Teratoramularia rumicicola
Lineage: Eukaryota; Fungi; Ascomycota; Dothideomycetes; Mycosphaerellales; Mycosphaerellaceae
Description: partial 18S ribosomal RNA
Source: RNAcentral